Molecule: transfer RNA, 73 nt
Filed under: Cordylochernes scorpioides
Lineage: Eukaryota; Metazoa; Arthropoda; Arachnida; Pseudoscorpiones; Chernetidae
Description: tRNA-Val
Source: RNAcentral
GGUUCCCGCCAGGGAUCGAACCUGGGACCUUGUGCGUGUGAAGCACACGUGAUAACCGCUACACCACGGAAAC